This 226-nucleotide unclassified non-coding RNA is filed under the name Hevea brasiliensis (rubber tree). The record is from RNAcentral. Lineage: Eukaryota; Viridiplantae; Streptophyta; Magnoliopsida; Malpighiales; Euphorbiaceae.
AAGAACACACAAAUUACCGAUAAAUCAGAGACACGCAUAACUUGGUCGAUGUGCGGGCGGCAAUUGAGCAGAUUGAUUGACGGCAGAAGCGGUGUGAUACGGCGGGAGUUGGUGGCGCGUGGUUGAACGGGGAAAGUGCAUAUACAGUUACACAAAUGGGUAAUGGGCGUCGCAUCAAACGCAUGAUAAAAUGCUUAUUAUGCGCGUGCGCUGGACAAACAGGAGG